Molecule: ribosomal RNA, 370 nt
Filed under: uncultured eukaryote
Lineage: Eukaryota
Description: partial 18S ribosomal RNA
Rfam family: Eukaryotic small subunit ribosomal RNA
Source: RNAcentral
CAAUAGCGUAUAUUAAAGUUGUUGCAGUUAAAAAGCUCGUAGUUGGAUUUCUGGUCGGAAGCUCCUGUCCUCUGAUGAGCGUACAAGUGCGUCCUACCAUCCUUCUGUUAACCUUUAAGGCUUUCGCGGCUUUCUAGGGGCUCAGAUAUUUUACCUUGAGAAAAUUAGAGUGGUUCAGGCAGGCUAGCGCCGGAAUACAUUAGCAUGGAAUAAUGGAAUAGGACUUUUGCCUCUUCUGUUGGUCAUGAGGCUCGAGUAAUGAUUAAUAGGGAUAGUUGGGGGCAUUAGUACUUAACUGUCAGAGGUGAAAUUCUCGGAUUUGUUAAAGACUAACUUAUGCGAAAGCAUUUGCCAAGGAUGUUUUCAUUAA